ACACGGACCAAGGAGUCUAACGUGCGCGCGAGUCGCGGGGUGUCGUGCAGUCGGCGGCGUUCUUUCGAGGGCGUCGUCGGCUGCUCGUUACAAUACGAAACCCGUCUCGUUUUACGAAAGGCGCAAUGAAAGUGAAUUUAGGGGAAGAUGACGUUACCGAGUUCACGUUUCGCGCUCUUGUAGCGCGGCCGGUCGUCCGCAUUCCCAGGGCGUUCCAACGGCCCGGCGGCGUUGCGGAUCGUCGUUCCCUCGGGGGCGGCGGUCGGGCGUCGUCGAACCGGAGCGCACCUAUAGCGUGCACGUUGGUACCCGAAAGAUGGUGAACUAUGCCCGGCCAGGAUGAAGUCAGGGGAAACCCUGAUGGAGGUCCGCAGCGAUUCUGACGUGCAAAUCGAUCGUCUGAGCUGGGUAUAGGGGCGAAAGACUAAUCGAACCAUCUAGUAGUG
RNAcentral lists this ribosomal RNA (446 nucleotides) under Planococcus lilacinus (lilac mealybug). RNAcentral describes it as "partial large subunit ribosomal RNA". It matches the Rfam family "Eukaryotic large subunit ribosomal RNA", at positions 659 to 952 of the family's 3401-position model. The record is from RNAcentral. Lineage: Eukaryota; Metazoa; Arthropoda; Insecta; Hemiptera; Pseudococcidae.